RNAcentral lists this ribosomal RNA (467 nucleotides) under uncultured bacterium. Its description in RNAcentral is "partial 16S ribosomal RNA". It matches the Rfam family "Bacterial small subunit ribosomal RNA", at positions 28 to 507 of the family's 1533-position model. The record is from RNAcentral.
GAUGAGCGCUGACAGAAUGCUUAACACAUGCAAGUCCACUUGAAUUUGGGUUUUUAACUUAGGUUUGGGUGGCGGACGGGUGAGUAACGCGUAAAGAACUUGCCUCACAGCUAGGGACAACAUUUGGAAACGAAUGCUAAUACCUAAUAUUAUGAUAAUAGGGCAUCCUAUAAUUAUGAAAGCUAUAAGCGCUGUGAGAGAGCUUUGCGUCCCAUUAGCUAGUUGGAGAGGUAACGGCUCACCAAGGCGAUGAUGGGUAGCCGGCCUGAGAGGGUGAUCGGCCACAAGGGGACUGAGACACGGCCCUUACUCCUACGGGAGGCAGCAGUGGGGAAUAUUGGACAAUGGACCAAGAGUCUGAUCCAGCAAUUCUGUGUGCACGAUGAAGUUUUUCGGAAUGUAAAGUGCUUUCAGUUGGGAAGAAAGAAAUGACGGUACCAACAGAAGAAGUGACGGCUAAAUACGUG